GACGAACGCUGGCGGCGUGCUUAACACAUGCAAGUCGAACGGAAAGGCCCUGCUUUUGUGGGGUGCUCGAGUGGCGAACGGGUGAGUAACACGUGAGUAACCUGCCCUUGACUUUGGGAUAACUUCAGGAAACUGGGGCUAAUACCGGAUAGGAGCUCCUGCUGCAUGGUGGGGGUUGGAAAGUUUCGGCGGUUGGGGAUGGACUCGCGGCUUAUCAGCUUGUUGGUGGGGUAGUGGCUUACCAAGGCUUUGACGGGUAGCCGGCCUGAGAGGGUGACCGGCCACAAUGGGACUAAGAUACGGCCCAGACUCCUACGGGAGGCAGCAGUGGGGAAUAGUGCACAAUGGGCGGAAGCCUGAUGCAGCAACGCCGCGUGCGGGAUGACGGCCUUCGGGUUGUAAACCGCUUUCGCCUGUGACGAAGCGUGAGUGACGGUAAUGGGUAAAGAAGCACCGGCUAACUACGUG
RNAcentral lists this ribosomal RNA (468 nucleotides) under uncultured bacterium. Its description in RNAcentral is "partial 16S ribosomal RNA". It matches the Rfam family "Bacterial small subunit ribosomal RNA", at positions 28 to 507 of the family's 1533-position model. The record is from RNAcentral.